ACAGCAGUAGCCGCGGUAAUACAGAGGGUGCGAGCGUUAAUCGGAUUUACUGGGCGUAAAGCGUGCGUAGGCGGCUAAUUGAGUCGGAUGUGAAAUCCCCGAGCUUAACUUGGGAAUUGCAUUCGAUACUGGUUAGCUAGAGUGUGGGAGAGGAUGGUAGAAUUCCAGGUGUAGCGGUGAAAUGCGUAGAGAUCUGGAGGAAUACCGAUGGCGAAGGCAGCCAUCUGGCCUAACACUGACGCUGAGGUACGAAAGCAUGGGGAGCAAACAGGAUUAGAUACCCCAGUAGUCCCUGUCUCUUAUAA
Molecule: ribosomal RNA, 305 nt
Filed under: uncultured bacterium
Lineage: Bacteria
Description: partial 16S ribosomal RNA
Rfam family: Bacterial small subunit ribosomal RNA
Source: RNAcentral